UCACAAAAACCCACAGGUCCUUCUACUGU
Molecule: non-coding RNA, 29 nt
Filed under: Mus musculus (house mouse)
Lineage: Eukaryota; Metazoa; Chordata; Mammalia; Rodentia; Muridae
Source: RNAcentral